This 523-nucleotide ribosomal RNA is filed under the name uncultured bacterium. RNAcentral describes it as "bacterial SSU rRNA". It matches the Rfam family "Bacterial small subunit ribosomal RNA", at positions 988 to 1509 of the family's 1533-position model. The record is from RNAcentral.
CCAGAGAACUUUCCAGAGAUGGAUUGGUGCCUUUCGGGAACUCUGAGACAGGUGCUGCAUGGCUGUCGUCAGCUCGUGUUGUGAAAUGUUGGGUUAAGUCCCGCAACGAGCGCAACCCUUUAUCCUUUGUUGCCAGCGGUUAGGCCGGGAACUCAAAGGAGACUGCCAGUGAUAAACUGGAGGAAGGUGGGGAUGACGUCAAGUCAUCAUGGCCCUUACGAGUAGGGCUACACACGUGCUACAAUGGCGCAUACAAAGAGAAGCGACCUCGCGAGAGCAAGCGGACCUCAUAAAGUGCGUCGUAGUCCGGAUUGGAGUCUGCAACUCGACUCCAUGAAGUCGGAAUCGCUAGUAAUCGUGGAUCAGAAUGCCACGGUGAAUACGUUCCCGGGCCUUGUACACACCGCCCGUCACACCAUGGGAGUGGGUUGCAAAAGAAGUAGGUAGCUUAACCUUCGGGAGGGCGCUUACCACUUUGUGAUUCAUGACUGGGGUGAAGUCGUAACAAGGUAAGCGUAGUGCU